Molecule: ribosomal RNA, 1387 nt
Filed under: uncultured bacterium
Lineage: Bacteria
Description: bacterial SSU rRNA
Rfam family: Bacterial small subunit ribosomal RNA
Source: RNAcentral
AGAGUUUGAUCCUGGCUCAGGAUGAACGCUGGCGGCGUGCCUAACACAUGCAAGUCGAACGAAGAUGCAUUUCAGAUCCCUUCGGGGUGACGAGGUGCAGACUUAGUGGCGGACGGGUGAGUAAUGUAUGAGCAACCUGCCUUCAAGAGGGGAAUAACAGUCGGAAACGACUGCUAAUACCGCAUAAUAAAGCGUAGUCGCAUGACAAUGCUUUCAAAGGAGCAAUCCGCUUGAAGAUGGGCUCAUAUCUGAUUAGAUAGUUGGUGAGGUAACGGCUCACCAAGUCUGCGAUCAGUAGCCGGACUGAGAGGUUGAACGGCCACAUUGGAACUGAGAUACGGUCCAGACUCCUACGGGAGGCAGCAGUGGGGAAUAUUGGGCAAUGGGCGAAAGCCUGACCCAGCAACGCCGCGUGAAGGAAGAAGGUCUUCGGAUUGUAAACUCCUGUCGUUAGGGACGAUAAUGACGGUACCUAACAAGAAAGCACCGGCUAACUACGUGCCAGCAGCCGCGGUAAAACGUAGGGUGCAAGCGUUGUCCGGAAUUACUGGGUGUAAAGGGAGCGCAGGCGGACCGGCAAGUUGGAAGUGAAAACUAUGGGCUCAACCCAUAAAUUGCUUUCAAAACUGCUGGCCUUGAGUAGUGCAGAGGUAGGUGGAAUUCCCGGUGUAGCGGUGGAAUGCGUAGAUAUCGGGAGGAACACCAGUGGCGAAGGCGACCUACUGGGCACCAACUGACGCUGAGGCUCGAAAGCAUGGGUAGCAAACAGGAUUAGAUACCCUGGUAGUCCAUGCCGUAAACGAUGAUUACUAGGUGUUGGAGGAUUGACCCCUUCAGUGCCGCAGUUAACACAAUAAGUAAUCCACCUGGGGAGUACGACCGCAAGGUUGAAACUCAAAGGAAUUGACGGGGGCCCGCACAAGCGGUGGAGUAUGUGGUUUAAUUCGAAGCAACGCGAAGAACCUUACCAGGCCUUGACAUCCCUUGCAGAGGUAUAGAGAUAUAUCCGAGGUUAUCAAGGAGACAGGUGGUGCAUGGUUGUCGUCAGCUCGUGUCGUGAGAUGUUGGGUUAAGUCCCGCAACGAGCGCAACCCUUGUGAUAUGUUACUAACAUUGAGUUGAGGACUCAUAUCAGACUGCCGGUGAUAAACCGGAGGAAGGUGGGGAUGACGUCAAAUCAUCAUGCCCCUUAUGGCCUGGGCUACACACGUACUACAAUGGCGUCUACAAAGAGCGGCAAGCCUGUGAAGGCAAGCGAAUCUCAUAAAGGACGUCUCAGUUCGGAUUGAAGUCUGCAACCCGACUUCAUGAAGCUGGAAUCGCUAGUAAUCGCGAAUCAGAAUGUCGCGGUGAAUACGUUCCCGGGUCUUGCACACACCGCCCGUCA